RNAcentral lists this ribosomal RNA (269 nucleotides) under uncultured bacterium. RNAcentral describes it as "partial 16S ribosomal RNA". It matches the Rfam family "Bacterial small subunit ribosomal RNA", at positions 15 to 273 of the family's 1533-position model. The record is from RNAcentral.
GAUCCUGGCUCAGGAUGAACGCUAGCGGCAGGCUUAACACAUGCAAGUCGAGGGGCAGCGCGGGGCGGCAACGUCCUGGCGGCGACCGGCGGAAGGGUGCGUAACGCGUGAGCGACAUGCCCGUUGCCCGGGGGACAACCGGUGGAAACGCCGACUAAUCCCCGAUGGGACGGAGGGCCCUCCAUGGGUCUCUGUUGAAAGUUACGGCGGCGACGGAUUGGCUCGCGUCCGAUUAGCUAGUUGGCGGGGUAACGGGCCCCGACCAACGG